RNAcentral lists this ribosomal RNA (468 nucleotides) under uncultured bacterium. RNAcentral's name for it is "partial 16S ribosomal RNA". It matches the Rfam family "Bacterial small subunit ribosomal RNA", at positions 28 to 507 of the family's 1533-position model. The record is from RNAcentral.
GACGAACGCUGGCGGCGUGCUUAACACAUGCAAGUCGAACGGAAAGGCCCUGCUUUUGUGGGGUGCUCGAGUGGCGAACGGGUGAGUAACACGUGAGUAACCUGCCCUUGACUUUGGGAUAACUUCAGGAAACUGGGGCUAAUACCGGAUAGGAGCUCCUGCUGCAUGGUGGGGGUUGGAAAGUUUCGGCGGUUGGGGAUGGACUCGCGGCUUAUCAGCUUGUUGGUGGGGUAGUGGCUUACCAAGGCUUUGACGGGUAGCCGGCCUGAGAGGGUGACCGGCCACAUUGGGACUGAGAUACGGCGCAGACUCCUACGGGAGGCAGCAGUGGGGAAUAUUGCACAAUGGGCGGAAGCCUGAGGCAGCAACGCCGCGUGCGGGAUGACGGCCUUCGGGUUGUAAACCGCUUUCGCCUGUGACGAAGCGUGAGUGACGGUAAUGGGUAAAGAAGCACCGGCUAACUACGUG